Panthera uncia (snow leopard) is the source of this 3670-nucleotide long non-coding RNA. RefSeq lists it as uncharacterized. The record is from RefSeq and is a predicted model, not a curated record. Lineage: Eukaryota; Metazoa; Chordata; Mammalia; Carnivora; Felidae. The transcript is spliced from 3 exons.
CCCCCAGGAACGUAAUUUUGCCUUUUGUUGUUAGAGAACCCCCAGCCCUCCCUUCUCCGCGCCGCGCUUGUUUGAGGCGCGGCGUCCGAGGGGGCGGCCCGCCCUCGCGGUGGGACUGGGGCGCCAAUGGCAGUCGGCGGUCUCACGUCUGUAAUCAACGUGCUGAGCCUGCCAUUCCCUAGAGAGGAUCCUGGCGGGCCUAGCAAUGGUCAGGAGACCUGUCAGAUUCCGCCUGCCACUCCUGAGACCAGUCUCUCAGCGACUCUCUGGGCCCAGGUUUCCUCAUCUGCAAAUAAAGCGAUUCAAGAGAGCACCUUUAGAGCUGCCCACCUGAUUUGAAAUUCUGUGCGCAAGCUGUUCCCCCAAGGGAGGGCGGCUGAAAGAAAAGGGAGGUCUUCUGGAGCCUCCUUUGAAGCCCAGGACAGAUGACAUUCUGCACUGGGUAAGGUGUCUUGCAAAUGUGACGGAUUCCAUCUUAAGUUUCAGUGCGUGUUGAAGCAUUAGGUAUGGUGGUUCAAGGCUGGGCUUCAGGUCAUACAAACAGGUUCAAAUCUGGGCUUUACUUCUUACCCACUUUGUGUUAGCUUUCUUAGCCACAUGAAAUCACAGUUUUCUUGCCUACAAAAUAGGGAGAUCAGCCACCUUGUAAGGAUUAAUUCUGAUAGCAUAUAUACUAUAUGCAUAGAGUAAACUUAAAAAACAGUAAUUGUAAUUAUUAUAGAUCAAGGUAAUUCAAAGAGAUUGGAUUAUUUUUUUUCCCCAUUAAGUACAACUUUCUAACUCAGUCUCAAGGUUAAAUGGUUGAGGAGGGAGAGAGGAAAGGUGAUGUUUUUAUUUUAAAAGAUGUUAAUUUUCAGAUGCCAAACUGCCUAAGCAUAAACCAGAGCCUCUAGGCUCAUCACCACCAGCAUCUGAGAUGCAUAUAGUAGGAAGAGAAUGCAGUUUUUAAAACUUAUGGUAUUAUGUUUUGCUAUGUGAGUACCUGCUUCAUUUGCUAGGUAUCUUCACCUCCUUGAGCAAUGCAUUCAUCUUUCUAUCCCCCAAUGGUGUCCCGAGUGAGUGUUCAAUAAAUGAUGUUUGUUGAUCACACAGAAAUGACGCGGCACCAUCAAGGGAACAUGUGCUUUGAGCUGCUUUUCCAAGAAUGGAAAUGGAUUUGCUUUGAUCCAUUCAUGUGACCAGAGGCAUACUUUGUGAAGUGUCCUCAGGUCUCGGCUGGUGCAUUCUGGGGCCGCCACCAUCAUCACAAUGCUGCCAUCCCUCUUGUCCCCAUUAAGGAAAGGACUCAGUGAGGGGACCGACCAGUUUACCUCUGAAUCCUACAUUGUGGUUCACCCAGUGCCUUCCGUGUAUAUGGUGGACAUUCAAUAUAUUCUUCGUGAGUAACUAGAUGACCAGGAAAAAAAAAUGCUUUAUGUCAUGUUCUCUUUAAAGGAAUCUUUGGAGAUCAUUUUUCAUAUUUAGUAAUCUGUCGCAGUUGCAUUAUUUUGUGAAUCUGAAAUUUUCAUAGAUAAAUCUUGUUCCUUAUUCCCAGUAUAUGUAUGGAUCUCUCUCUGUUCUCUGGAUUGAUUUAAACAGUUGUGAAGCUUAAUUUUAAAAGCCUAGGAAAUUUAGCAUUGUGGUAAAAAAAAAAAAUUUUUUUGCUUGGACCAGAGUGUGUCCUUUAGUUGGUACCCUUCCCAGAGAUAUCCUCAACUGGAUCCACAGUCCUGUCUCCCUCACCUCUAACCCAUUAGUUGAUUGGAAUCCCUGUUUACUUCACGUUCAUAUGCCAAAUUUUAAUGGGAAACAAACAACCCUGAGAUAUGUUCUCUGGAUGCUUGGGCAAUACUUAGACUUAGUUCUGUUUUUCCUGACCUCCUCCCCCCCACCCCCCCUUCUUUUAAAUCAGUUCUGAGAAGACUUGUUUACCAGGUUGGAGAGCCAGAGGCUUGGCUGGGGCGGUGUGAUCGUAGCGCCCUCUGGUGUAAUUUUUGAGAAUUACAAAUAUCUUCCCCAAGCUUAAGAGUGGGUGGGAAUUUUUUUCCUGACUGGCCUUCAAGGGGAGAGCCUCUGUGUUAUAUCUCAAAUACAGUAAAUUAAUAACAUGCACGUUUAUUACCUACAGUGGAUAUUUAAGAGAUACUAUGUUGGCAGUAUCAACUGAUUACCAGACAUUUGUUUAUUAUAAAAUUAGGCUUCAAAUGACUAGAAAAGAGCAGCUUAACAGUGUUUUGUGCUUUUUCAUCAUCUCCCACCAGUGUGUGGAAGAGGUAAAGACAAAGUCCCCCAAGAAGGGUAAUGGAAAAGGGUGUAGCGCCCAAGAGUUAAGGGGAAAAUGGCGAGGAUCAGAAAACGUGGUUACAAACAAAUCUUAUCCUCAGCCCUCACUCAGAUCUGAGCCCAGAAAUUUAAGACCCAGCCAGAAGUUGAGAGUUGGCCAGACUCUCACUCAAAGGGGAGGCUGGGGUGGGGGUAUUGGGUGGUGGACAGAAAGUCUGACAGAGACACGCACUGUAGGAGGCGUCUAGGGUAUGUACAUGCACCACUUUGUUCUAGCUGGGCCUUCUGGGUGGCCAUUUUUCCUUCCUCCCUCCCUCCCUUCCUCCCUUUUUUUCUUUCUUAUUUUUUAAAACAAUGUCAAUUUGGGGCGCCUGGAUGGCUCAGUUGAUUAAAUGCCCGGCUUCAGCUUGGGUCAUGAUCUCACUGCUCAUGAGUUCGAGCCCCACGUCGGGCUCUGUGCUGACAGCUCAGAGCCUGGAGCCUGCUUCAGAUUCUGUGUCUCCCUCUCUCCCUGCCCCUCCCCUGCUCACACUCUGUCUCUCUCUCUUUCAAAAAUAAAUAAACAUUAAAAAAAAAACUAAAAAAUAAAACAAUUUCAAUUUGAGGAUCAUUUCCUUCACCAUUGCCAUUAGCAGAGUCACUGUGGCCCAGAGGACACAGUCACUGGCUAGAGUCAAACAUACCUGCACUCAAAUUCCUGUCUUGCCUUGUACCAGCUAUAAGAUGGGUAAAUCAACCUGCUGAGUCUCAGUUUUCUGGAAGUUCCUUACGGAUUAAAAAGCACUAACAGAGUAAACAAUUCAGAAAUAGGUUAGUGAUUUUAUUUCUCCAAGAAUGAGGAAGAGAGUGGGGUCAUGACUAAGGAGAUGAUUCAGGUUUUAGUACUGUUGGUGUUUCCCCAAGGUUCACAGAACCUUGAGCCUGACCUGAAACACAUUUAGAAGCAACAGGGGUAGGCAGAGAUUCUGGAAGCAAACAAACCUUUAUUAAGCAUUACCUACACUACAUUUUUGCCACAUACAUUGGAAAUUAUGUAACUUGGAUACAGCAAAGUCCUUACCCUUUGGGAGUCUAUGCUUUAGGUGUUGAGGAAAAACCUCCCCAAAAACCCAAGUAUAUGACCCAAGGACACGAUCUAGGAAACUAUAUGCGUGAAGGUGGUGAUAGUGAAAUAGGUAAGCUUUGGUUGGAAUAGGAGUAGUAAAAUAUGAAGUUGGAAAAGCACUGAGCAUUUGAAUUCUAUGUUUGAAGUCUGCACAUUUGAAAUAUUGCUAUGUUAAAGCAUUAAUAAAGUCUCGCUUUAUGAAUUUGGAUUUGAAAUGAAAGCAAUCCUUAAAAAUGGGAGGGGGGUAUAAAAAUAAUAAUUUCAACAUGUAUAAAUUAAUUAUAAAUUGUUUAUAUUACUUCC